RNAcentral lists this ribosomal RNA (500 nucleotides) under uncultured bacterium. RNAcentral describes it as "partial 16S ribosomal RNA". It matches the Rfam family "Bacterial small subunit ribosomal RNA", at positions 30 to 523 of the family's 1533-position model. The record is from RNAcentral.
AUUGAACGCCGGCGGCAGGCCUAACACAUGCAAGUCGAGCGGUUGAAGGGAGCUUGCUCCCUGAUUCAGCGGCGGACGGGUGAGUAAUGCCUAGGAAUCUGCCUAUUAGUGGGGGACGACGUUUCGAAAGGAACGCUAAUACCGCAUACGUCCUACGGGAGAAAGCAGGGGACCUUCGGGCCUUGCGCUAAUAGAUGAGCCUAGGGCGGAUUAGCUUGUUGGUGAGGUAAUGGCUCACCAAGGCGACGAUCCGUAACUGGUCUGAGAGGAUGAUCAGUCACCCUGGAGCUGAGACACGGUCCAGACUCCUACGGGAGGCAGCAGUGGGGAAUAUUGGACAAUGGGCGGAAGCCUGAUCCAGCCAUGCCGCGUGUGUGAAGAAGGUCUUCGGAUUGUAAAGCACUUUAAGUUGGGAGGAAGGGUUGUAGAUUAAUACUCUGCAAUUUUGACGUUACCGACAGAAUAAGCACCGGCUAACUCUGUGCCAGCCGCCGCAGUAA